UUUGAACCCAAGAUCCCUCCACAGCAGAUUCCCACACUCCUUCUGGCAGCAUGCCAAUACACGCCCCCGCACGCUCCAAUAGCUCCACGCCCACUCUUCGCCGCAGCUGCAGGAGGCCUGUCAUCAGAGCACCUGGCAGCAAUCAAGGGAGCAGCAUAAAGUCCACUCACUCCUUGGAUCCUUUGCCAGAACGUCGUUAACUCCUCGUAUUGCCUCCCUCGAUCCUCGACCACUCGCCUGGACUUGGACCUCGUUGCUUGCCGCCUGCCUCUCCGCCUUUCCCCGUAUCCUUCUUGUGCCUACCCUUCCUUGACCAGACGAAGGUUUUAUUCAGCAUUUAGAAUAAAAGUGUCACGGCGCGGAUUCGAAACCAAGAUCCUUCCACAGCAGAUUCCCACACUCCUUCUGGCAGCAUGCCAAGACACGCCCCCGCACGCUCCAAUAGCUCCAAGCCCACUCUUCGCCGCAGCUGCAGGAGGCCUGUCAUCAGAGCACCUGGCAGCAAUCAAGGGAGCAGCAUAAAGUCCACUCACUCCUUGGAUCCUUGGCCAGAACGUCGUUAACUCCUCGUAUUGCCUCCCUCGAUCCUCGACCACUCGCCUGGACUUGGACCUCGUUGCUUGCCGCCUGCCUCUCCGCCUUUCCCCGGAUCCUUCUUGUGCCUACCCCUCCUUGACCAGACAAAGGUUUUAUUCAUCAGGCACAUAAAACACCCUCUUGCAUUAUUCACAUGGUUAAUUGUACACCUAAUCCUGCAGCCAAUCUUUUAGAGUAGCAUACACAUCCCACACAAUCAUCAAAAGUUCCAAUAAACUUGGUAACCUUAA
Long non-coding RNA from Nerophis ophidion (straightnose pipefish), 827 nucleotides. RefSeq lists it as uncharacterized. The record is from RefSeq and is a predicted model, not a curated record. The transcript has 3 exons. NCBI's taxonomy places the organism in Eukaryota, Metazoa, Chordata, Actinopteri, Syngnathiformes, Syngnathidae.